CUCAGGAGCAAGCAGUGAAGACCGUCAAGCUAGCACAGGCCAUGGCGGAGCAGGCAAAGAAGGAUUGACGGCGUGUCCUGGAGACUUCAUGACACUAGUGUCGAGUGUGAUGCCGCGGCAUGACGAUAUGACAUUGAUUUAGGAGUGUCUCCUAUGCUAAUUUCUGCAGCGUAGCAACUGCAGAUCAUGCAGACGGCAACCUGGGUGCGCACGGCAAGAGCGUCGGAUCUCCGGUCCGUUUGAACACGAGGGCUUGCCCGUUGCGUGUAGGAUGGUCAGCGCAGCGAACGUAUUGGGUGAAGGCGCCGUCCACUAUGGUUGCUCAAAAUUCUUUGUGCCGCGGUCGCCAACGUUUUUUUCUGGCUGCCUGCGGAUCUAAUUACGUGUCAGGUUGUUAAAUCAUAUUGGGGGUGACUGGCGCAUUCCGGUCAAACUUCUCGUUCCCGAACGCUGGCGGCGAAGGAAUGCGAACGCUGUCCCGCUGAGUGUCUGCUGGGGGGUACGCACCAUUAAGUAAGGGUCUGCCGCAUCUGUCGUACAGGUUGGGGUUCCUGUUGGGGCCUGUAUCCACCGGGGUCAAGAAUAUAUAUAGGAAUAUAUGUAUUUUAGGGGGUAAUAGUGUAUUUACGUUAUCAUGCCGAUGCCGAUGGAUGCCAGCCGUCCCUAAGGGCUUACUAGCAACGUGGCAUUACGGGAUUAGCCAUUUGGCGUUUCUGUUCCUAGGUAGGGCACAUAGUGAAUAAAGAGUUAAGGCAUUUGCAACUGUUUCAUGUUUGCAAAAGACAAUCAAGGGUGCCUUUCUCCCUUGUAACCAGAUUUGAGGAAUAAAACAAUUGAUUUACACGGUUGCCCCUCGCCGGUCCUGGACAUGCAGUGUUGUCAGGUUUCUGAUCCCGAAGUUGUUCGGGGCCACAAAAAACUAAUCCAGUAAUUCAGGCUGACCUUCGGAGCCUUGCUUUCUGUGAGAAUCGCUGCGACACGCUGCCAUGCACGUCCCUGUAGCGUCCCAUGCGUCCCUGCAGGUGCGUCUCUGCAGCAAGCCAUAAACGCUACGAGCCAGCCGCCUCAUGGCAACUCCUGCCAUUCCCCUAUCUCCUAGGUGAAGCGGCCGAAUCACUGAUUAGACUAACACGACUCUUUGCAUGGACGUUGACGCGAAGCUGGCAUAACCUGCAUUGGCUUGGAGAGUAUGCACUAUUUGCUAAACACACUACAUAUAUGCAGGGGCCCACCUGCUACUGGCAGGACAAAAGGUGUGUUGGGCAUUGAAAAGCGCCGGGUUAAUCACCGAACUGCCAUGGGCUGUUGUACAGCCGUGCAUGUAGACUUGUAAAUGCCGUACAUUUGCGAAACGGAACGGGCGCCGUUAAUAGGGUUGCCGCGCAGCCGCAUGACAGCAGUAACGCAACGGCUGACGUAUCAGCCUUCUCUGGCCAGUGGCCAGUGGCCAGUUUUGCGUGGUGGUGUCCACUUUCCUAUUGGAGGAUUUCCCUUGGCCUCCUUCUUGGCCUCACGGGUCAUGGCGCAACCACCAGGCAGUUGGCUCGUGUCACAUUCCGUUCAUGCAUUCCUAGGACCUUCCCAACAAAUUACAUUUAACCCGGUGUGCAUAACGGGACAAUACUGCUAUAUGUCAGCGCAGCUGAUGAUAGCGUGCAUCCAUUCGCUUGAGUGGAAGCUUUGCGAAAGAAACAAAUAAAAACAAAUAUAAGUUCCGUUACAGUGACAUAGUUUUAAGUCUACGUUGACUGCAACGCAUUGCAAGCUAGAAGCCAUUAAGGCAGUCGUGUGGUCGGAAUGCCAGGAUCCCGGUUCCACGGCAUUGGUGCCGAUAGAGUAUGUUGAGCAGCACGUUCAGCGCAUUCUGCUUCGUAAGCAAUUUCAUGAAUCAAAAUCAUACAAUAUUCUGAAAAUAUUAUCCGGAUGUCACUCUCGGAAUGUCUGCGGUAGGGUCAUACCAGCCAUCAUGUUCACUUCAGUUACUUAAUGCACGAUUCAGCGUUGGUCAUUACCGUAUAGCUCCUGGACUGCAUAGACACCACUUACACCGCGGUCACGAGUCCCCCUCAGUUCGUUAUGCGCCGGCGGUUUGCCAUGAACCAGGCGCGCAAGCGCCCCCGCACGGGUUGUGCCACAGCUUUUUACGCCGUCGUUGCAUUGCCACAGCAUCAGCUACAACAAUCGUCGCUUCAGGCACGAGCGACAGCGACCCUGCACCCGAUUCUGCGGGCAUGCUGCGCUAUCAGCUCGACUUGCUUCGCCGCAUGGUGUCAUUCCUGGGUCCAGCCACACUCAUACCUCUCGGGGAGCCCCUCAUGAGCCUGGUGGACACAGUCUGCAUCGGCCAGGUACGGCACUUGGGCAAGGCGCCAUGACCACCUUCAUCCCACCCAUGGUACACGCACGCAGGUGAUGCAAGGCGCCGCAGUCCCGCAUUUGUAGGUGCUGAUACCCCUAAGUAUGCCAGCUGCUAUUGUGGCGGUUUCGCCAUCGGCAUGUAUAGCGGGACAGAGGCAGUAGCUACAGCACUAGCAGUAGCAGUAGCCGCUGGUACUACUUUAUAUUGCACUGGGAAUUGGCAGCCUCCGUGGAGAAACAAUCUGAUCUCAAUCUACACCGCCCGUUGACCUUCAUCCCCGCCCUUUCUGCCUCCAAUCCAUGUCUUCAUGCACGAACUGCGCCUCUUGAGCCCCUCAGCCGUCCUCAUUCCCGACUUUACCUGCCGCGUACCCC
RNAcentral lists this long non-coding RNA (2733 nucleotides) under Volvox carteri. RNAcentral describes it as "long non-coding RNA (VCAR_LNC000238)". The record is from RNAcentral. Lineage: Eukaryota; Viridiplantae; Chlorophyta; Chlorophyceae; Chlamydomonadales; Volvocaceae.